UGUGAGCAACACUGAAGGGACUCAUUC
Molecule: non-coding RNA, 27 nt
Filed under: Rattus norvegicus (Norway rat)
Lineage: Eukaryota; Metazoa; Chordata; Mammalia; Rodentia; Muridae
Source: RNAcentral